This 810-nucleotide long non-coding RNA is filed under the name Olea europaea subsp. europaea. Lineage: Eukaryota; Viridiplantae; Streptophyta; Magnoliopsida; Lamiales; Oleaceae. The record is from RNAcentral.
CUUUUCUAAUUUUUGUUUCUAUUUAUUGUAUAUAUGCUUCUCAUGUUGUUAGACAUGCAUAAAGAGCCACACUGAACAAAAAAAGAAAAAUAUCAUGGACUGUAGUUAGAUUUGAAUUGUCUUGAUUAAUUUAUGCUAUUUCAUCUUGGGUUUGAGGUUACAAAAUAUUUUCAUGAAUUACGGAGCAAGAGAGUGAAAACAAUUAUGGGAAUAACACUUUCAAAUCUAGGUCAAUCUAAUGGUUCAAAUGUAAUAGGUUCUAAAAGUAAGAAAGAGAAGUUGACUGGAGAUAAAAACUUACACUUGCAUGGAACAUACUUGAACUUGCCUCAAUGCUUAGUAAACUCUCUUUUAUGCAUUAUUUGAAGCUCUUAUUAUAUCUCUUUUCACUCACUAUAUAUUAUUAUAUAUAGGCUGUUUUUAACAUACAUUAUGAUAAAUAUGCAACUCUUAAAGAGUUCAUGGAGAAAUCAAUGGCCACUUCCUUUAUGGAGUUUCGAUAUGAGUUGCACGUACACUACAAGGAGUGUCCAAACCAACCAAUAGCUCAUGGGAAAGCAAAUAAGCCUAAAAAAAUUCAUGGCCAAGCUGAUUGGGAUUAUUUGUGUGACUAUUGGGAAAGCGAGCGGUUUCAAGUACAUUUAUAUGUAUUUUAACUGGUAUUUAUGUUUAUUUGUUACCUUAUUUAGUUUGUUGACUAUUUUCAAUUGUAUUUAAUUGUGUUUCCCAGAAAAUAACCAAGGUAGCAGUUGAAAAUAGAUCACAACAGUAGUUUAGCCAUUCAAUGUCAAGCUAUGGAGGUAAGUAAGG